RNAcentral lists this long non-coding RNA (424 nucleotides) under Daucus carota (carrot). Its description in RNAcentral is "long non-coding RNA (DCAR_LNC001375)". The record is from RNAcentral. Lineage: Eukaryota; Viridiplantae; Streptophyta; Magnoliopsida; Apiales; Apiaceae.
CUCUUUCUGAAUCGAAUUCACUCAUACCUCUAGGCGUGGCAAGAUGAAAAAAGAAAUAUAUCCAGUAAGGACUAAAUUUGUUUUGUUAUAAAUCUGCAGCUGCUGGCUGUUUGAAACAUAUGCUUCUGAUCUAUUCCAAUUUUCUGUUAUCCUGCAAAAACAGGAUGAGCAAACAAUGCUGAUUCAGACUACAGGGACCAGAAUCAAGAAACCUCAUGAUCGGCAAAAUAAGCAUGGUAACUUCACUGCAGGAUUCCAGACUCUCAUACAGAAGAUAUAAAAUUACGUCGAAUUUAAACCAAACCUGUUUGUGUUUAAUUUGCAGAAAUCAAAAACCCUCCAAGAUUCCAGAGAACCAAGAGCACCCCAUCAUCUCUUUAUCUCCUGACCUGCCAAUGGGAGAAUAAAACACACUGAAAAUACU